AUUUCUUAUUUUCUAACAUUAUAUCCUAUAUAUCGGAGAUAUAAAGGUUUGAACUUCCACUUAUGGUAAUCGAACUUGGUAAUCAAACACUCUCCUUGCAAGAAGAUAAAAGAUUUCAUUCGGGCAAGUUCAACUAUAGUUGGGAAAGGAACGGACCACAGGCUUCGGGCUCUGCCUUUCUUGUAUUUGGACGGCGCCGUUAUUAGGCUGCCACAUGGGCAUAAAGCGCUUCUCCGUUGACCUAUACCCUUGCCCAUACCCAUAGGUCUUAGUCUCUCAACACUCAACACUCAACUCCACCCUUCCCCAGAUGUCAUUGCAGGAAUGGCUAAGACAAAAAGUAUGACUAGAAAUCAAAAUCAUGAUGAUGAUGAUGAUGAUAUCAUCAUCAACCAGGAAGAGGUUCAAGACUUUUGACAACAAUGGUGUGACAUCUUGGUCAAAUCGUAACCAUAAUGUGCUUUUUUUAGCAGGUUGAAGUCUUUUGCUGAUAUUAUAUGAGUCAUGGUUUGACCCUUGGGCAUGAUACCAACACGAUACCAGAGCUAUGAUGAAAUCAUUAAUGAUGAUAAAAAUUGAAAAUGCAUGUUCUAUAAUGAAUGGAUGUGGUACUUCUCCCAUGAUUGUUCUAAGGUUAAUCUAUUAGAUAAGUUUUGACUUGUUAGCACUCUUA
Lactuca sativa (garden lettuce) is the source of this 673-nucleotide non-coding RNA. Lineage: Eukaryota; Viridiplantae; Streptophyta; Magnoliopsida; Asterales; Asteraceae. The record is from RefSeq and is a predicted model, not a curated record.